UACGUAGGGUGCGAGCGUUGUCCGGAAUUAUUGGGCGUAAAGGGCUCGUAGGCGGUCUGUUGCGUCAGGAGUGAAAACUCGGGGCUUAACCCCGAGCCUGCUUCUGAUACGGGCAGACUAGAGGUAUGCAGGGGAGAACGGAAUUCCUGGUGUAGCGGUGAAAUGCGCAGAUAUCGGGAGGAACACCAGUGGCGAAGGCGGUUCUCUGGUCUGUCUCUGACGCUGAGGAGCGAAAGCGUGGGGAGCGAACGGG
RNAcentral lists this ribosomal RNA (253 nucleotides) under uncultured bacterium. RNAcentral's name for it is "partial 16S ribosomal RNA". It matches the Rfam family "Bacterial small subunit ribosomal RNA", at positions 524 to 776 of the family's 1533-position model. The record is from RNAcentral.